CGAGCAGACUUGCCUAACUCUGCCGCUGCUCGGGAUCCGUUCGCAAAAAUCGUCCGGCAGAGACGGGGAACCCAAUACUGGCCUGCUUUCGGCGGGCCUUGGGGUGAAGCCGUGCCUGGUGCAUUUCUUGCAUCACCACGGCCGGGUGUCUCCCAUCCGAAUCCGACAGCUAACCUCGCAGGCAGUGGGAGAGGCCCU
RNAcentral lists this small RNA (198 nucleotides) under Pseudarthrobacter siccitolerans. Its description in RNAcentral is "Arthrobacter siccitolerans c-di-AMP sequence". It matches the Rfam family "c-di-AMP riboswitch aptamer (ydaO/yuaA leader)". From Rfam's summary of the family: This family represents a conserved RNA structure found upstream of the ydaO and yuaA genes in Bacillus subtilis and related genes in other bacteria. The ydaO/yuaA element is thought to act as a genetic "off" switch for the ydaO and yuaA genes in its native state. Lineage: Bacteria; Bacillati; Actinomycetota; Actinomycetes; Micrococcales; Micrococcaceae. The record is from RNAcentral.